AACCUGCAAAAAAUGGUAAGCAAUGCUAACAUACCUCCACUUUCUUCAAGAUUUAUCAAUACGUGGGUGCCCAAGUAUCGUAUCCUUUCCGGAAGAGGGUUCCCCACCAACCUUAGAGAGCUUAGUUUGUCAGGGGCGAAUAUCUGUGGGCAAGUAUUUGAGUUUGGACUGCACAAACUCACGUCGCUUACAUUUCUCUGGAUUGGUUAUGGAAUUAUGGAUUCGUUUCCAGAAGAGGAAGAUGGGAAGACGAUGUUGAUGUUGCCUACAUCUCUCACUACCCUGAGGUUUUUUGAAAUUCUAAAUUUGAAAUUCCUCUCCUGGAAGUUCUUUCAAAACCUCUCUGCACUUGAAGAACUUUCCAUCUUUUUGUGCCCUAAACUCGCGUCUCUCUCAGAGAAGUAUUUUCCUCCCUCGCUUCAGCAAUUUCAUUUUUAUGAAUGUCCUGUGCUGAAACAAAACUGCGAGAAAGACAAAGGGAUAAUGUGGUCAAAGAUUACAUAUCAAGUUGAGGAACAAUGAUCAAUGGAGAUAUGCACAUAAUGGCAGGAUGGCUUUUUAAUAUGAUGCCUGAGCAGCAUGUCAUUUUAACCAAAGAUCAUGCCUUGCACAAAUGAUCAAAGCAUUCUCACCUGUGCUGCACAUGGCAGAUUCAGGAAUGUGACCAUAUGGUCAUGAUCUGUCAAGGUGUGCAAUUGGAUACAAUUUGGCGAUAGUCAGCAGUGGCAAGUGUUGAUCUUUGGUGGAGGUGGUGGGUUUGGAGCGGGUGAGGUGCACGCUUUGUUAUAAAAUUUGUGAAGCAUUAUCCUAUGUACUUGCGAAAGGUGUGGUAGCUGCACUUGUACUUACGAGUAUGUCUGGGGUUUACAGCCUUUGUUGUGGAUUAAAAACAUGAAGCUAUUAACAUAUUGUUGUGCUGUUGGUGAAUUCCCACUAAGGCUCAUCACCUGGAGGAGCAGCAGCAAUAAUUGUAUAAAACAUAUUUACACAAUUGGUACCACCCGUGUGGAAUGCAUAUUCAAGCUACAGGCUGUGGGUGAUUUAGGCUUUCAGAAACAAAGCUACCACCAAAGACAGUGAGUGAGAUCAAGGCUGUGACAGUGCUUGAUUAUAGUAAAAAAAUGGAACAGCUUUGUAGGGAGGCUUGCUUGUUAAAGAAGGACCGAGUUAUCAAGCUGAGGGAAGUACUUUGGAUGUGGCAAGUUAGAGGCAGACAAGGAUGGCAAGUCCUGGUUAUGCAGGAUGUGAUAAGAGAUGAAGUUGGAAAGGGUAAUGUUGUUACCGCUGGAUUCUUUAGCUGGGAAAAAAAACUCCAAAUCCACUGCCUUCCUCCUCCUUUUGAGACAAGCUCUGUGGCCUUGAAGCAUAUGGGAAUUCUAAGUGUUUUUGUGCUCUCAACCGGCAUAUAGCUUGAGAAACUUUUUGAAAACAGACAAAAUCAGGACUGGGUGAGUGCCGGUGUUAUUGGUGACCUUCAAAGUCUAUUCACCAGUGUAAGAAGUGUUGGCUCUAAACUCUAAUAGGAUUGAUCCCAGAAUUCUUUGUCAAGUCAGGCACCAUGCUAAGAUGACAUCAAACUGCUAUAUGACUAUCUUUGGGUCCUCUGCUGGUAGGUAGGGGCUCUAUUUUGGUCUUGUCUAUAUCGAACCUUCUGCUGUGUUUGUGUCUUGUCUCCUUUGUAUCUAACUUAUGUUUUGUUUUGUGCCUAAUCAAAGUUACUAGUUUACACUAUAUACUAAGGGAUGUGGUUGACGUGCAACCAGUUUGGACAAUUUGUUGGAAGAUUGUUUUUUGAAACCUUAGUUUCAGGUUCAGUAGUCAAAUAAUCUUGGCUUACAAAAUCAUUCAGACAGCAUUACACAUUGUGCUUGAAAUCGCAGCUUCUCGAUCAACCACUAUGAUUAUAUAUCAUGUUGUGGAAGACGGUGAUUAGUGGAUAUGCACAAAAUGACAGGAUAGCUUUUUAAUAAGAUGCCUGAGCAGAAUGUCAUUUCUCCCAAAGAUCAUGCUUUCGAGGAUAGUCAAGCAUUAUCACCUGUGCUACAGAAGGGCAGGGAUUUCACAAUGGAAACAUGAAAGGAGGCCUAGAAGGAGAAGGGGGGUUGGACCGUAAUUCACAAAUAUUCUUCCUAGUUUGUACCUGCUCUAUAUGUAAAGCUGAUUCCACUUCAG
Molecule: long non-coding RNA, 2172 nt
Organism: Quercus lobata
Lineage: Eukaryota; Viridiplantae; Streptophyta; Magnoliopsida; Fagales; Fagaceae
Exons: 5
Source: RefSeq, a predicted model, not a curated record